UACAGAGGUGGCAAGCGUUGUUCGGAAUUACUGGGCGUAAAGGGCGCGUAGGCGGUCUUGUAAGUCUUGUGUGAAAUCCCUCGGCUCAACUGAGGAACUGCACGGGAUACUGCGAGACUUGAGUUCGGGAGAGGGAAGCGGAAUUCCGGGUGUAGCGGUGAAAUGCGUAGAUAUCCGGAGGAACACCGGUGGCGAAGGCGGCUUCCUGGACCGAUCACUGACGCUGAGGCACGAAAGCGUGGGGAGCAAACAGG
RNAcentral lists this ribosomal RNA (254 nucleotides) under uncultured bacterium. Its description in RNAcentral is "partial 16S ribosomal RNA". It matches the Rfam family "Bacterial small subunit ribosomal RNA", at positions 524 to 776 of the family's 1533-position model. The record is from RNAcentral.